Molecule: long non-coding RNA, 1330 nt
Filed under: Salmo salar (Atlantic salmon)
Lineage: Eukaryota; Metazoa; Chordata; Actinopteri; Salmoniformes; Salmonidae
Description: lncRNA (ENSSSAG00000099901.1)
Source: RNAcentral
UCUGCUCUGCUCUUUCUAUGGUGUACAUCAUUUACACAAUGAAACUUUACAUUUUAUGUACAUUAUAUUUUAAUGUCCUGGAGGAACAAAACACCUGCUUAUUGCUUAUACAUGUGCUAUUCUCUUCUCUCUGUCCAGGACUCCACACAACCAGACAGAAUCUAACACACAACCCUAAUCUCAUAAAACUAUUUUCUCUCUCUUCUAUAUUUUACUUUAAAUAUAUCUCAGCCGUAGAAAAAAAAAACAGAGAAGCAGAUCGAUUCUAACCCAGGACAUUUACGUGUGGUUGUCAGCGGCGACCAGAUCCCGAUCCUCCCGACAUAAAUAAACACAACCUUUAUAAAAUAUUUAAACUCUGUCCAACAGCAGCAAUAGGGUGGCACCUUAUUGAAGUAUAAACCCAUUGUAUAGUUAGUUCAUUCUAUAUGUUUUAUAUAUGUAUAUAUUAACAACUUCUUUGAACAAUGAGGGAAUGUGCGGUGUAAAAUAUGUGGAAAAUGAAACGUUUAGGGCCUCAGGUUAAAAACUUAAAUGGGAGUAAAACCAGUAAAAAAAGACAAGAGCAUAUGGCGCCCCCGUGUGGUUAAAGGAAAGCACUGCCUUAGUGUGUGUAGAUUUGGUGCUUCGCCCUCUCAAUAGUGUGUGAUUGUGGGAAGACCUCAAAUGCAUACUCCUCCCGUCCUCAGAUCCUUGUCUCCUUCUCAAAACCCAUUAGAUGAGAAAGCCAGAUAUCCUUCCCCUCUGACCUUCUCCUCCAGUGGGAUUUGAGAAGGAGACGAGGAGACAGGACACAAGUAGUAUGCAAUUGAGAUCUUCCCAGUGUGAGACUCCUCUAGUGCUCUUAUUUACAACUGUACAGUCCUCUCCUUUUCACAGCAGUGCUCUGCUCAUAGACACUCAAGACAUCCUCACAGAACAUGUCCAAAAUAACAGACCAUCAUAAUACCUGUAAUAAGCAUUGGAAAUGUAAUAAUAAUCAUCAUCAUCAAUUAUCACUCUGGUAAUACUAUCUUGUCCUCUGAUAUCUCUGUGUGAAUGAAAAAGUUUUGCAUCACAGUUAUUGUGUAGGCCGGCAGUAAGUAAUACGAGCAGGCCUGUGGAUCUACUCUUUCUAUCUGUCUGGCUACAGUCGUUUCUAUACAUACAGAGAGAUACUGGGCAUGCUCUGUGCAGACUGGCUGGUGCCAUCAUGGCUCUGUAGGAUGCCAUCUUGGGUCUCCAGGCUGGCAUCGCUUAUGAGUCACUGCUCACCAAGGUCAAUGUCUGGGCUGCAGGGAUACGUGCAAAGAGAGGGAAGAGGUGAAGAGACAGAUGAGCACACACAAAA